UCGAAUAUGGUGUAACGGCUAACAUUACCGCCUCUCAUAAUGUUGGUUUAUAUUGCACGCGGCAGCUCGGGGUUUGAUUCCCCGUAUCCGAA
Molecule: transfer RNA, 92 nt
Filed under: Armillaria gallica
Lineage: Eukaryota; Fungi; Basidiomycota; Agaricomycetes; Agaricales; Physalacriaceae
Description: tRNA-Glu
Source: RNAcentral